This 253-nucleotide unclassified non-coding RNA is filed under the name uncultured Candidatus Altimarinota bacterium. RNAcentral describes it as "uncultured Candidatus Gracilibacteria bacterium contains 16S-23S intergenic spacer region". It matches the Rfam family "Bacterial small subunit ribosomal RNA", at positions 524 to 776 of the family's 1533-position model. The record is from RNAcentral. Lineage: Bacteria; Candidatus Altimarinota.
UACGGAAGGUGCAAGCGUUACUCGGAAUCACUGGGCGUAAAGCGUCCGCAGGCGACUGCGUCAGUCUGAUGUAAAAGCACGGAGCUCAACUCCGUGUACGUAUCGGAAACUGCGUAGAUAGAGUCAUACAGAGGCAACUGGAAUUUCGUGUGUAGGGGUAAAAUCCGUUGAUCCACGAAGGAACGCCAAAAGCGAAGGCAGGUUGCUGGGUAUGUACUGACGCUCAGGGACGAAAGCGUGGGGAGCAAAGGGG